RNAcentral lists this Y RNA (106 nucleotides) under Propithecus coquereli (Coquerel's sifaka). Its description in RNAcentral is "Y RNA (ENSPCOG00000004094.1)". It matches the Rfam family "Y RNA". From Rfam's summary of the family: Y RNAs are components of the Ro ribonucleoprotein particle (Ro RNP), in association with Ro60 and La proteins. Lineage: Eukaryota; Metazoa; Chordata; Mammalia; Primates; Indriidae. The record is from Rfam by way of RNAcentral.
GACUGGUUCAAGUGCAGUGUUGUUUGUUUACAACUAAUUGAUGACAACCAGCUACAGAUUCCUUUAUUCCUUCUCCACUCCCACUGCUUCACUUGACUAGCCUUAA